CGUAGGUGGCGAGCGUUGUCCGGAAUUAUUGGGCGUAAAGCGCGCGUAGGUGGGAUAUUAAGUCUAUUCUAAGAGUGCGGGGCUCAACCCCGUAAUGGGAUGGAAACUAAUAUUCUUGAGUACCGGAGAGGAAAGCGGAAUUCCCAGUGUAGCGGUGAAAUGCGUAGAUAUUGGGAGGAACACCAGUGGCGAAGGCGGCUUUCUGGACGGUGUCUGACACUGAGGCGCGAAAGCCAGGGGAGCGAACGGGAUUAGAUACCCCGGUAGUCCUGGCCGUAAACGAUGGGUACUAGGUGUAGGGGGUAUCGACCCCUCCUAUGCCGGAGUUAACGCAAUAAGUACCCCGCCUGGGGAGUACGGCCGCAAGGUUG
Molecule: ribosomal RNA, 371 nt
Filed under: uncultured organism
Description: bacterial SSU rRNA
Rfam family: Bacterial small subunit ribosomal RNA
Source: RNAcentral